This 440-nucleotide ribosomal RNA is filed under the name uncultured bacterium. Its description in RNAcentral is "partial 16S ribosomal RNA". It matches the Rfam family "Bacterial small subunit ribosomal RNA", at positions 338 to 795 of the family's 1533-position model. The record is from RNAcentral.
CCUACGGGAGGCAGCAGUGGGGAAUAUUGCACAAUGGGGGAAACCCUGAUGCAGCGACGCCGCGUGUGUGAAGAAGUAUUUCGGUUUGUAAAGCACUAUCAGCAGGGAAGAAAAUGACAGUACCUGACUCAGAAGCCCCGGCUAACUACGUGCCAGCAGCCGCGGUCAUACGUAGGGGGCAAGCGUUAUCCGGAUUUACUGGGGGUAAAGGGAGCGCAGACGGCUAAUCAAGUCAGAAGUGAAAACCCAGGGCUCAACUUUGGGACUGCAUUUGAAACUGGGUAGCUAGAGUGCAGGAGAGGUAAGUGGAAUUCCUAGUGUAGCGGUGAAAUGCGUAGAGAUGAGGAGGAACACCAGUGGCGAAGGCGGCCCAAUGGACAGUAACUGACGUUGAGGUUCGAAAGCGUGGGGAGCAAACAGGAUUAGAUACCCCGGUAGUC